Alosa alosa (allis shad) is the source of this 602-nucleotide long non-coding RNA. RefSeq lists it as uncharacterized. The transcript has 2 exons. NCBI's taxonomy places the organism in Eukaryota, Metazoa, Chordata, Actinopteri, Clupeiformes, Clupeidae. The record is from RefSeq and is a predicted model, not a curated record.
AAAGGGGUCGAUGUAACAAGUUUCAGAUGUGUUCAGGUUUGUCAUGGCAGAUGGGGGAGGGGGCGUCAAUACAUCGCCAAAUGGAUUUAGAGAUUAUAAAUAUAUAAGAUGGUCAAAACACUGCGUGAGCAAUCCAAAUAAUGACACCUAGAGACAUCAUGCUUAGAACAAAUGUGAUGACAACGCGGUUCUAUGCUCUGGGAGGGAUGAGGAGAGGAACACCCCUGCGAAGUCGUAGAAGUACGACUAGCGACUGAACGGAACGAAUCUCAGGAGCGAACUGCCGUGCAGUGCGCGAGCUGUUAGGAGCGGACGGGAGACAGUCUGCAGGGGAAAGAAAGGAAAUCGAUAGGAGAUUUUAAGAAAGAGCACGCUUCGGGAGUGGAAAUCGAGCCUCUACAAAAUGUGUUUGUGAUCAGAAUUCCUUUAUGGCUUCCAUGGACGUCAGAGGACACUUCUUAUUUCCCACACCUUUAUCUUUUCAUCAGAUAUUCUCCGUUGAACAAUAAUAAUGUAGCAUAAGAGAUUGUUUCUGGUUUUCACAUUAAUGCACAUGAAAUACUGUAUCAUACAUUUUUUAAUAAAGUGUAUAUUAAAAAGAA